This 543-nucleotide long non-coding RNA is filed under the name Eucalyptus grandis. RNAcentral describes it as "long non-coding RNA (EGRA_LNC001310)". Lineage: Eukaryota; Viridiplantae; Streptophyta; Magnoliopsida; Myrtales; Myrtaceae. The record is from RNAcentral.
UCUUGGUCUUCGGCUCCGGCGGCCGCACCUUCUCGACGGCCACCCUGAGCACCCCGUCCUGGCACGCCGCGGUCACCGUCUCCACAUUAGCGUUCUCCGGCAGCGCGAACCUCCUCAGGAACUUCCCGGUCCUCCUCUCCAUGCUCAGGUACUUGGCCCCUUCCUCUUUCUCCCUCUUCCUCUCCCCGCUCACGACGAGCACGUUGUCGUUCUCUAUCUGCACCUUGAUCUCGCUGGCCCUUAUCCUGGGCAUGUCCACGACGAACACGUAGGAGACCGGGUACUCCACGACGUCCGCAGGGGUCGCCGCCAUGGCCUUUGCAUCGCGGACGUAGGCGCGCGAGGGGUUGCUCCUCUCUCGGGCUCCUCGGGGAAGUCGAGCAUGUCUUCGAGGAUCCCAAAGAGGCGCGAAUCGAAGCCGAGAUUACGCAGAUCCAUCGGGCUGUUCGCUUUUCCUCGUCUUGAAGAGGGAGUGUGCUUGAUUGUGGGAUGCAGAGGCUGGAGCUCUAGUUAACUGGGGUUUUAUAGAGCAGUUUGAAGGAG